CCUGCACACUGGAGAGAUGCAAAGAGACACAUUCAUUUUGUAUUAUGUAAUUUCUCACAGGCAAUGCAGCAGCAUGCAUUAAAAACUAGCAUGCGAUCUACAGACUUCCUCAACAUGUGGAUCAUGAAGAAGUGGCGUGAUGUGACGAAAAGUAUUAUUUUCCAUAAAACUGAAUAUUCAAGGCAGGAACAUCCUGUGACAUUCAUUCCUACACCAUUGUCUUCUUUAAACAUGGAGAUUAUGGAUAAACAAACAUUAUGAAAAUCAGCAGAACAGCAUGGAGCAUCCACUGCGAGAUGGGGUUCUACAUCCUCUCCCUUGGACAAGUACAUUGCUCAGGAGAUUAUAUCUGUUAUGACUGUUAAGAUCUUCUGGGGAGGCCCUGCUGUCGGUCCUGUCCUCAUCGCAGGUGCAGUAGACAGGGACGAGAGACAGGGCUUUCUCGGUGGUGGCUCUGUGGCUGUGGAACUCCCUCCCCAGUGACAUCAGAACAGCCCCCUCACUCUUAAGCUUCAGGAGGAAUCUUAAGAUCUGACUAUUUAAGCAAGCCUUUGGGGAUUAAUAUGACCUGUAAGAAUGAUGGAAGAACAGCAAAGCAAUUGGUUCAUUGUUUACAAAGCUCAGUUGGUGCUGGACUUUUGAUAUGUUUGAUAUGUUUUAAUCAUUUGAAAGACAACUUUAAUUGAUAUGUAUAUAUUUUUUACAGUUUUAUAAUAUUGUGUUUUACUGAUAUUGUUAUUGUUUGUAUCUGGCAUUGUAAUUAUUGCCAUAGUUUGUAAGCUGCCCUGAGUCCUCCUUCGGGGGUGAGAAGGGCGGGGCAUAAGUAUAC
Non-coding RNA from Anolis sagrei ordinatus, 829 nucleotides. The record is from RefSeq and is a predicted model, not a curated record. NCBI's taxonomy places the organism in Eukaryota, Metazoa, Chordata, Lepidosauria, Squamata, Anolidae.